Molecule: long non-coding RNA, 2764 nt
Organism: Mytilus californianus (California mussel)
Lineage: Eukaryota; Metazoa; Mollusca; Bivalvia; Mytilida; Mytilidae
Exons: 2
Source: RefSeq, a predicted model, not a curated record
AAAUACAACUUUUUCGAUGUUUCUUAUUAUGAAUUUUUUCAUAUUUAAACACUCAUGAAGUGUUCUAGAAUCAUUUCUAUUCGACUUUUCCAUGAAAAUACUGCAAAAAGAAAUCGCAUGAUAAGAACAGAAGCUUGAUUCCAACCUUUGGCAAUGGCUAAUACUAGAAGAGGCAAGGCAUACAUGUACAUGUACAAUACAUGAUUCUCUGUAGCACCUGGAUUAUCUACAAUAUAUAAUUCCAUAACAGCAAUGAAACUCUAGACUACUAUGAUGUUAUGUACAUGUAUAUCUACAUAUAUGAUCAAUGUUGAAGACAGGUUAUGCCAGGUCUCAUCAUGUCGACUAGUCCGACAAGUUUUGGUUCAGCUUUCUGACAGGAAUAAUUAUAAAUUUGCCAGCAGUAACAACACAUGAAUAUUAGUUAUUAUACCCCACGCAACGAGUUGCGGAGGGUGUAAUGUUUUUGACCCGUCCGUCCGUCUGUCCGUCCGUCUGUCUGUUCGUCCGUCCGUCCGUCUGUCCGUCCGUCAGUCCUGUUUCUUGUCAUCGCAACUCCUCUCAAACCACACAACAGAAUUUCACGAAACCUUUUUAGAUAAUAAGGACAAACUACGUAGUUGUGCAUAUCGACAGGAAAUUACGAUUCAAUUAUUUUUCUAGGAGUUACUCCCCUUUGAACUUAUUUACUUUAAUGUACUACUGCAACAGUUUGUCAUCGCAACUCCUCUCAAACCACACAACAGAAUUUCAUGAAACCUUUUCAGAUAAUAAGGACAUACUACGUAGAUGUGCAUAUCGACAGGAAAUUACGAAUUAAUUUUUUUCCAGGAGUUACGCCCCUUUGAACUUAUUUGCCCAAUAUACUACUGCAACCUUUUGUCAUCGCAACUCCUCUCAAACCACACAACAGAAUUUCAUGAAACCUUUUCAGAUAAUAAGGACAUACUACGUAGAUGUGCAUAUCGACAGGAAAUUACGAUUCAAUUUUUUUCCAGGAGUUACGCCCCUUUGAACUUAUUUGCCCAAUAUACUACUGCAACCUUUUGUCAUCGCAACUCCUCUCAAACCACACAACAGAAUUUCAUGAAACCUUUUCAGAUAAUAAGGACAUACUACGUAGAUGUGCAUAUCGACAGGAAAUUACGAUUCAAUUUUUUUUCCAGGAGUUACGCCCCUUUGAACAUAUUUGCCCAAUAUACUACUGCAACCUUUUGUCAUCGCAACUCCUCUCAAACCACACAACAGAAUUUCAUGAAACCUUUUCAGAUAAUAAGGACAUACUACGUAGAUGUGCAUAUCGACAGGAAAUACGAUUCAAUUUUUUUCCCAGGAGUUACGCCCCUUUGAACUUAUUUACUUUAAUGUACUACUGCAACCUUUUGUCAUCGCAACUCCUCUCAAACCACACAACAUAUUUCAUGAAACCUUUUCAGAUAAUAAGGACAUACUACGUAGAUGUGCAUAUCGACAGGAAAUACGAUUCAAUUUAUUUUAUAGGAGUUACGCCCCUUUGAACUUAUUUGCCCAAUAUACUACUGCAACCUUUUGUCAUCGCAACUCCUCUCAAACCACACAACAGAAUUUCAUGAAACUGUGUAGAUAAUAAGGACAUACUAUGUAGAUGUGCAUAUUGACAGGAAAUUAUGAUUCAAUUUUUUUUUCUGAUACAAUUUUGUUUUCUUACACUUAUUUUAUUUCUCUAAUGACAAUGUGGGAACGUGGGGUAUGUGAGCGCGCUCACUAAGGUUCUUUCAUUAUUAAGUGCGCUUAUCGGUCUAGCAAUUUUUAUUAUUGUGCACUAAGAAGUAUGCCUAGUAAUCCAAAACAUUUUGCAUGAAGUUAUAUAAAGAUAGUUGGAAUUCAUGAUAUUGAUGCAUUGUGCAGAAACAUGAAAUAUUUUAGUUUGUAUUCUUAACAAUCCAAGAGUAGGGUUAAAUUGUACCAAGGAGAAUUACUUAUUACUAUAAUUACGCAGCAGUAUUUUGAUUGUGGAUUCUUUUCAAUUUUAUUAUUUACUGAAUGCAUAUUUGUCACUUGUUUAAUGCCUUGUUCAAACGUAAGUUUAAUUUGAAUUGAAUGCAAACCAAUUUCACACAAUAUUCUUUUUUUCAUUUUGAAGCGAAUUCAAAUAUAAUGCGAAUCGAAUUCACUAAUCGCGUUCACACAUUCAUCUUUUUUUAAUUCGAAUCUAAUUCAAAUAAGCUAAUUUGCAUUAUUCAAAUCUCAUUAGAAAUACCUUUUUGGGUUAAUUCGAUCAAACUUUGGUGUGAACACUUUCCAAAUUGUAAUUCAAAUUAAACUAUAAUAGAUUAAUUCAUAAAUCACAUGUGGAGCAGGAUCUGCUUACCCUUCCGGAGCACCUGAGAUCACCCCCCAGUUUUUGGUGGGGUUCGUGUUGCUUAGUUUUUGGUUUUCUAUGUUGUGUCAUCUGUACUAUUAUUUGUCUGUUUGUCUUUUUAUUUUUGGCCAUGGCGUUGUCGGUUUGUUUUCGAUCUAUGAGUUCGACUGUCCCUCUGGUAUCUUUCGUCCCUCUCUUGAAUUAAAAGUUAACGUCAUUUUGACAGUAAAGCGAUUUUGACGCGUAUUGCAAUUUGAAGUAGAAUUUACAUUUGGACAUUAAACAUGUUAAACUUUUCGAAUGGGUAUUAAACUAUAAAUUCAAAUCAGUUAAUGCGAAUCGAAUUGGAAUUAUGUGUGAACACAGCAUUUAUAUAUCUAAGAAAUGAGGAAUAUAAAAUUAUUAAAAAAAGAUGGCCAAAUA